UACGAAGGGGGCUAGCGUUGUUCGGAAUUACUGGGCGUAAAGCGUGCGCAGGCGGUUUUGUAAGUUUGUCGUGAAAGCCCCGGGCUCAACCUGGGAAUUGCGAUGAAGACUGCAAGGCUUGAAUCUGGCAGAGGGGGGUAGAAUUCCACGUGUAGCAGUGAAAUGCGUAGAGAUGUGGAGGAACACCGAUGGCGAAGGCAGCCCCCUGGGUCAAGAUUGACGCUCAUGCACGAAAGCGUGGGGAGCAAACAGGG
This 254-nucleotide ribosomal RNA is filed under the name uncultured bacterium. RNAcentral describes it as "partial 16S ribosomal RNA". It matches the Rfam family "Bacterial small subunit ribosomal RNA", at positions 524 to 777 of the family's 1533-position model. The record is from RNAcentral.